This 663-nucleotide ribosomal RNA is filed under the name uncultured actinomycete. RNAcentral's name for it is "bacterial SSU rRNA". It matches the Rfam family "Bacterial small subunit ribosomal RNA", at positions 214 to 884 of the family's 1533-position model. Lineage: Bacteria; Bacillati; Actinomycetota; Actinomycetes; Actinomycetales. The record is from RNAcentral.
UUAAUUAAUUAUUAUCAGCGCGGCCUAUCAGCUUGUUGGUGAGGUAACGGCUCACCAAGGCGACGACGGGUAGCCGGCCUGAGAGGGCGACCGGCCACACUGGGACUGAGACACGGCCCAGACUCCUACGGGAGGCAGCAGUGGGGAAUAUUGCGCAAUGGGCGAAAGCCUGACGCAGCAACGCCGCGUGCGGGAUGACGGCCUUCGGGUUGUAAACCGCUUUCAGCAGGGAAGAAGCCGCAAGGUGACGGUACCUUCAGAAGAAGGUGCGGCCAACUACGUGCCAGCAGCCGCGGUGACACGUAGGCACCAAGCGUUGUCCGGAUUUAUUGGGCGUAAAGAGCUCGUAGGCGGUUCAGUAAGUCGGGUGUGAAAACUCUGGGCUCAACCCAGAGACGCCACCCGAUACUGCUGUGACUAGAGUACGGUAGGGGAGCGGGGAAUUCCUGGUGUAGCGGUGAAAUGCGCAGAUAUCAGGAGGAACACCGGUGGCGAAGGCGCCGCUCUGGGCCGAAACUGACGCUGAGGAGCGAAAGCGUGGGUAGCAAACAGGAUUAGAUACCCUGGUAGUCCACGCCGUAAACGUUGGGCACUAGGUGUGGGUCUCAACCAACGAGAUCCGCGCCGUCGCUAACGCAUUAAGUGCCCCGCCUGGGGAGUACG